RNAcentral lists this ribosomal RNA (253 nucleotides) under uncultured bacterium. RNAcentral's name for it is "partial 16S ribosomal RNA". It matches the Rfam family "Bacterial small subunit ribosomal RNA", at positions 524 to 776 of the family's 1533-position model. The record is from RNAcentral.
UACGUAGGGGGCAAGCGUUGUCCGGAAUCAUUGGGCGUAAAGAGCGUGUAGGCGGUUCGGUAAGUCCGCUGUAAAAGUCCAGGGCUCAACCCUGGAAAGCCGGUGGAAACUGUCGAACUAGAGUCCGGAAGAGGCGAGUGGAAUUCCUGGUGUAGCGGUGAAAUGCGCAGAUAUCAGGAGGAACACCAAUGGCGAAGGCAGCUCGCUGGGACGGUACUGACGCUGAGACGCAAAAGCGUGGGGAGCAAACAGG